UACGGAGGGGGCUAGCGUUAUUCGGAAUUAUUGGGCGUAAAGGGCGUGUAGGCGGCUUCGUAAGUCUUGUGUGAAAGCCCUCGGCUCAACCGAGGAAUUGCACGAGAAACUGCGUGGCUCGAGUCCGGGAGAGGAUAGUGGAAUUCCCAGUGUAGCGGUGAAAUGCGUAGAUAUUGGGAGGAACACCGGUGGCGAAGGCGGCUAUCUGGACCGGUACUGACGCUGAUACGCGAAAGCCAGGGGAGCAAACGGG
This 253-nucleotide ribosomal RNA is filed under the name uncultured bacterium. RNAcentral describes it as "partial 16S ribosomal RNA". It matches the Rfam family "Bacterial small subunit ribosomal RNA", at positions 524 to 776 of the family's 1533-position model. The record is from RNAcentral.